GAUGAACGCUGGCGGCGUGCUUAAUACAUGCAAGUCGAACGAUGAAGCCCAGCCUGCUGGGCGGAUUAGUGGCGAACGGGUGAGUAACACGUGAGUAACCUGCCCUUGACUCUGGGAUAAGCCCGGGAAACUGGGUCUAAUACCGGAUAGGAGCGCCUGUCGCAUGACGGGUGCUGGAAAGAUUUUUCGGUCAUGGAUGGACUCGCGGCCUAUCAGCUUGUUGGUGAGGUAACGGCUCACCAAGGCGACGACGGGUAGCCGGCCUGAGAGGGUGACCGGCCACACUGGGACUGAGACACGGCCCAGACUCCUACGGGAGGCAGCAGUGGGGAAUAUUGCACAAUGGGCGGAAGCCUGAUGCAGCGACGCCGCGUGAGGGAUGACGGCCUUCGGGUUGUAAACCUCUUUCAGUAGGGAAGAAAGCGAAAAGUGACGGUACCUGCA
RNAcentral lists this ribosomal RNA (444 nucleotides) under Micrococcus luteus. Its description in RNAcentral is "bacterial SSU rRNA". It matches the Rfam family "Bacterial small subunit ribosomal RNA", at positions 28 to 483 of the family's 1533-position model. Lineage: Bacteria; Bacillati; Actinomycetota; Actinomycetes; Micrococcales; Micrococcaceae. The record is from RNAcentral.